GCCACCGUGGUGCAGUGGUAGCACGCCAGCCCUCGCAGGUAGCCACCGUCGCAUGACUUACGAGCAUGCCACGUCCAGGGCCAAGUCCCUCGGUUAUAGCGUGAGUGCGGUGUGACGGGAGACUGGCUGGAGACGCGAGUUCGAUUCUCGACGGUGGUA
Non-coding RNA from Phyllosticta capitalensis, 159 nucleotides. Lineage: Eukaryota; Fungi; Ascomycota; Dothideomycetes; Botryosphaeriales; Phyllostictaceae. The record is from the annotation of a GenBank genome assembly.